AGGAAUUUAGGCUAACAAAGACCAAGGGCCUUCAAAGCCCUAAGUAAGUAUAGAUACUUAAUUCCUG
This 67-nucleotide transfer RNA is filed under the name Sciurus granatensis (red-tailed squirrel). Its description in RNAcentral is "Syntheosciurus granatensis (red-tailed squirrel) tRNA-Trp". The record is from RNAcentral. Lineage: Eukaryota; Metazoa; Chordata; Mammalia; Rodentia; Sciuridae.